UACGUAGGUGGCAAGCGUUGUCCGGAUUUAUUGGGUUUAAAGGGUGCGUAGGCGGUCUUUUAAGUCAGUGCUGAAAUACUCCAGCUUAACUGGAGGGGUGCCAUUGAUACUGAUGGACUUGAGUCAAGUCGAGGUAGGCGGAAUUGACGGUGUAGCGGUGAAAUGCUUAGAUAUCGUCAAGAACACCAAUAGUGAAGACAGCUUACUGGGCUUAAACUGACGCUGAGGCACGAAAGUGUGGGGAUCAAACAGG
RNAcentral lists this ribosomal RNA (253 nucleotides) under uncultured bacterium. RNAcentral describes it as "partial 16S ribosomal RNA". It matches the Rfam family "Bacterial small subunit ribosomal RNA", at positions 524 to 776 of the family's 1533-position model. The record is from RNAcentral.